GAAGUUUUGGAAAGCUAACGAAAUUAUCUUCGAUUUGGUAUACUAAUUUGCACUCAUAGCUUGUUUAUUGAUGGAGAUAAGCGCAUUUGAAGUUGAUCAAUGGAUGCUGAAAAUAGGUGUAAAGUGGAAUACGGGUUUGAUGAAUUUGGAGUUGAAGUUUUGGUCAAGUUAGGAGCUCAAUUGCAGCAUGUUCAUCAUCCAAAGCUCCAUUGAUGCAAGGUGCAGUUUAGUAGCUUUUGAUAGAUAGCCGGUUCGGAUUGAUGGCUUGAAGUGGUGUCGGCUCGAAGACCUCGUUGAUUUUGACAUUCCGCUGUGCAAGAUCCAUUGAAGACCCAUGUAUUGUGCUACUUAGUAGAAUUUCAUGUUGUAUUUUAUAUGGAUCAAAUAUUGUACCUUGACUUGUGUAUGUACUCAAUAUCAAUUUUAACGUUUCAUGCAUAAUAUACUAGUCAGUUAUGUAUGGGGUGUUACAGUUGGUAUCAGAGCAGGUCGAUUCUCAACCGAGCCACGAAACAUCACUAGCAAUUCCUUUUCCUCCUCUCAAGUGUGCGUUGCUAGCCUGACUUUACUGAUAUCUCAUUGAGUCGUUGAACUUGAUCAACUCAUCGACUGAGUGCGUGACAGUGGAAUUACGGCAGAGCCGCCACGAGGACUCGUAAAACCUGCAAGGUUGUGAACCUAAGUUGUUGGAGUGGGAUGAGUAAUGAAUUGUUGGACGUUUUAAGUGGAUGAUAUUGGAAUCGUCAAGCUUCAGAAGAGCAGUUGACGCAAUGUAGUGAUACCCGAACUGUCAAGGUGUGGAUCGAGACAACUAGAACCCCCAGGAUUUGGAUGGGACAGAGUGAAACCUUCUCUAAGUCUUGGUAAUAGCAAGGGAAAAUCCGGACAGGAUUGAGAAAGGGCCUUGUAAGUGAGAUUCUCCGAAGGUGUUGAGCUGGGAUUUAGUAGGAUUCAGUACUGAUGAUGCUGCUGGUGUUAAGUGCGACUGAUGAGCUGAUAGGACAGAAUAACCUUUGGAAGUGCGGACACAGAAGUCAGACCUUUCUGAUUGCGCUGGUACGGACAGUAAUUGGAUGGGUGAAGUAUUAGAUCCUGAUUUAACUUGAAGUAACCUAAGCGAGAGUAGUUGCCUAGUGAAGGUUCGUGGAAUAUACGAACGUGGUAACUUACGAUUGGGCGAGGCUUGAAUACUCGGUCGAUGGAAGAGGAUGUGUAUUUCUAUUCUUAUCAUUUUAUAUUUAAGUUCUAGAACUACGCUAGAUGGAAUAUGAAAUGAUGUAGAAGCGUGAAAUGCAGUAGCCUAAGUUCUUGUUAGUUGUUGUUCGUCAGACCCCGAGUGAAGCCAUAGAAUUACGCUUGGCAUUGGGCGUUCAGGCGAGUAAGAACUAAGAUCUAUCUGGAACGUCAAUAGGAUGAUCGCAGUUGCGUUGGUUAUUAGGAACCAUAGUAUUCCUAUCUGGACUGAAUUAUCCUUGGAAUCUCAUGCAUGCGUGGGACGAGUGGGUACGCGCACGACAUGGUAAUUCGAUUUUGAACUUCAAGUCUUCAUGCUUGGCGUUUUGGCCUUCCGAGUAAGUAAACCUUGAUGUGUAGCACCCUCAAGUUUUAGCAUCCUGAGGAGUGUGAUUCGAAGGACUUGAGGAACGAUGAACCUAUUGGAGGCCUGUUCAGACACUUGUCGGUUGCAACUAUAGGAUACGCGUGGGGAUCAUUAUACGCCUGAGGUAGGUUACCGGGAUACAUGGCCUCGGAUUUGGUCCACCAUGUUGGUACUACCAGACGGGUAUGAUGCCACAGUAUCGCUAUCAUGCACAAGAUGCGUGAGUCAUCCUUUUCCGACAUGUGUGGGACAAAGGUGAUCUGAAGCUCAAGGUAGAAUUCUGAUUUGGCACUCGUGAGACACAGAUCCAGACUCUCAUAAGGUAUGUAGGAUAAGGAUUCAUACGUCACACUCGAUAGUAGAGGAAUAACUAGACAGGAGAUGGUGAGAUGGAUCAAGAUCCGAUACUAUGCUUAUAGAGACUCUGAAUGAUCAUGCUCACGCAAGUUAGAGACAGAUUAUACCUUGCAAAUGUUCUCGUUUCAUGAAGUGUUAAGUUGGCAAUUUUGCAAGAGUGUCUAGAGUGCGACUCAUGUGCGGUCAUGAUACCCUGGUCAGCAUAGUGAGUGGCUAUCAUGUAUCAUUGGCAACCAGUGAUGGAAUAUGCAAAUUGUAUCUUGGAAUAAUUUGAUGUGUGACGUAUCUGGUAGAGUGUCUGUAGAUACUCUGAGUGAAGAAAUGUCAAUCUUGGUAAAGCAUAGACAUUUUUGGUUUGAGAACUUGUGAGGAGUUUAUAAGAGAGAUGUUCGAAAUUCAAAGUACAAUUUCUCGCAUUGUGGCUGCACUCCGACCGUUGGAAGCACUGCAAUGAAGGAUGCAGCCGCCGGGGAAGUCAGUUUAAUGCCAGAUUCAGAGGUAGAUCAGACAUUAGAUGAAUGUGUGGAUGGAGUGUGGCUAUGAGGGGAUUGUUAUAUCAGUAAGUCGCACGAGUUAUCAGAGGUGACUUUGUGCUAAGAGAAUGAAGCCGUUUGGUUGGGAAGAAGCGAUGAUAAACCGACGGAGUUAUCGUAAGCUGCGAAGCGUUGGUGAAAGAAUCAUUAUAACGGUUGAGUAACAAGACUUGUUGUAAGGAAAAAAAAAACGUAUCAGUUGUACGCUGUGGAAAUCAGUGACAAGGACGAACCCCUAAGUCAGUGGGUAUUUGGGUUUCAAUGUCCUAAGAUCGAAACGUGUGCCUAAGUUAUGGUAGAUGAACUAAUAUGGAAUUGCAGAGUAAGUAGAAACUUGAUUCUGGAGAGUACGCAACUUCGAGGAGUAGUAGUCGACAAUGGAUGUAUAUGGAGUUCUGGAACGUGUUGUAAUUGGACAACUAUGGAUAAGGAAUUAUUGUGUAUUAAAGGAAGCCAAGUGAAUAAUGGAUAUAACGUGACUCAGAGGAUUUCAAGGUGUGUGAAUUGUUGGAAUCAGAGUAGCGCAACGGAUCAAGAAAGAAUCAGAUAAGUCUGAGGUACGAACGAACGGACUAUUUGUAGGAUUUUAUGUUGGAAUGAAGGUAUCUUCCUAAGGGAAAUUGUCGAAGCGGCGUUUCGUUCAUUCCAGUCUCUCAAGGAUCACCAUAACUCGAGAGGUGUUGUCAAUGGGCCAGCUUGGGAAUACAUUUGGUGGAUGGCAUGCGGUCCGAAGUUCGUAGGUCAUCCGUUUAGCUUGUAUGUCACAAGGGUUGGACUGAGUAUUGUGACCGCUGAAAUGCUGAAGACCAGUGAGGAUUCUCAAUUGGCGCAAGUUCUUCGUGGUUAUGUCUUGUGCACUGUGAGCGUGCGUGAAGAGUUGGACAAUGGUCGUCGGGUAGCGUUUGGAAUUCACCGUUCAUCGGUGGAACCUUGGGUGAAGUUGUGGAAUGCUACAACAUCGUGGAUUGAGGUAAUGAUUGAUACAUCUAGGAUUGAGGUGAGAAUCGAGUAAGGAGGAUCAGUUGUAUAAGCAUAGGUAAACUUGGGACAACCGUCCUAAGACUUUGGGAACCGGAAGUUGAGACCAAGACAUUUGGCUAACGCCUAAUGACAUUGUAUGGACUCGAGUGGAGAAUAAUUUGAAGUGUUAUUGCAGAAGUGACGUUGUGGUAGUAAUUCUCAAACGGGAAGUAAUUCAAGGAGCUGAGUGGAUUAGUAAUGUUUGUCGAAUGAGGGUGAGCAUAUUAGAGAAUGAAAUGAAGGAUAUCCAACAUGAGUGGAUUAUUAGAGUUUCUGAAGUUCUGGGGAUUCAGUGCAGAGCAGUGAAGGUCAAGGACCCUGGAAGGAUUUUUCCCCAUAUAUGUCAAGACGAAGUAUCUUGAUAGACGUGUUACUUGAGAGUCAAAGUUCUAACCAUGCAUAGUGGGACGCAGGUGUUUUGGCAGAUUAUGCUUCUUCGUAUAGAAUGACCCUCAGACAGAGUAGUGAGAUUAUGUGAAGAGAAAUGUAAGGAACAUUUCAUCCCCUGGUUGGUAUAGAUUUGGACACGUUGUUUCCGUGGUGACCGGAAAGAAUUCGAGGACGAAUUCAAUUUAAGGGGGGGAGAAUGUAAUACCCCGAUUCUCCGACACAAGUUAAUUAUCAUUUAAUUGGUUAAGUGAUGAUUAUAAGGCAUAUUGAUAUUGGAUUAUAUUAGUCUAAGAAGAAUUAUUAGUAAGAGUUAGUGGAGUGGUUAGAAUAAGAUAGAUUAUUGGAAUUUAACCAAGUGGCAAGGUGGUAAUUUUCACUCAAUUGGAGGGCUUAAUGGACUUAUGUAUUGCUUGCAUGUGGACAUAAUGGACAUUGGACUUUAAGUGCAUGAGCUUAAGUGUUGUUUGGCUUACACAUCAGAUUUUUAUGGUUGAAGUGGAGCAAGAGAAGCUUAUGUUCUUCCUCAUCACCUUCAUUUUCGCAACAUUUUGACAGCCCUCACUAAACUGAUCAUAACUCUCUGCUCACAGCUCCGAUUGAGCUUGUUUAUUGAUGGAGAUAAGCGCAUUUGAAGUUGAUCAAUGGAUGCUGAAAAUAGGUGUAAAGUGGAAUACGGGUUUGAUGAAUUUGGAGUUGAAGUUUUGGUCAAGUUAGGAGCUCAAUUGCAGCAUGUUCAUCAUCCAAAGCUCCAUUGAUGCAAGGUGCAGUUUAGUAGCUUUUGAUAGAUAGCCGGUUCGGAUUGAUGGCUUGAAGUGGUGUCGGCUCGAAGACCUCGUUGAUUUUGACAUUCCGCUGUGCAAGAUCCAUUGAAGACCCAUGUAUUGUGCUACUUAGUAGAAUUUCAUGUUGUAUUUUAUAUGGAUCAAAUAUUGUACCUUGACUUGUGUAUGUACUCAAUAUCAAUUUUAACGUUUCAUGCAUAAUAUACUAGUCAGUUAUGUAUGGGGUGUUACAGUUGGUAUCAGAGCAGGUCGAUUCUCAACCGAGCCACGAAACAUCACUAGCAAUUCCUUUUCCUCCUCUCAAGUGUGCGUUGCUAGCCUGACUUUAUGUUGAAAGUAUUUGUGGGUAAAUAUUUUCUGUAAUAUAUCGUAUCCACAGGGAUUGGUUAAUAUCACUGCCGUUCUAUAGUUGUUUAUUUUGAGUUAAGAAAUUUGGUUUGGUUUGUUUUAUACUAAUAAUAAUAUCAAAAACAAAUAAUAAAAUAAAAGCAAGUAAAGGACUUUGUGUUAACAAAUAAAGAAAGAUGUUGAGUCUUUAGGGUUCAUCAACCUAAUCCUAUACAAUUAUCAAUUAAUUCACAAUAGAACAAUCCUUUGAAUCAUUAUCUUCACUUAUCCUCAAAUAAGAUUCCAUGUCUGCAAAUCAAAUUAGAUAACUUUUACCGGUAUGAGAUUCGAUCUCUCCAAACCACAAUAACGAUAAUAGUAAUUAAGAACGAUAAUUAUGAAAACCCAAUUACAAUUCCAUCUCUGCAAAUUGCAAUUGAAUCAAUAUAGUAACCUAGGGCAAAAGUUAAAUCCUUUCUUUCGAUCAAAGAUUCAACGAUAAUUUAAGACUAAAAAACAAGGUUUCUUAUUGAUAAUGAAUUCAAAUAAUUGUUCACAGGAAUUAAUCAAUGGUAAUGUAUAAUCAUAGGUUAACUACUACCUUAGACUCAACAAGAGGGAUUUAGCUCUCCAUAGAUAUGAAGAACAUACAAGAAUCAAUGGAGGAAUUCAUCUUCAUCAAUAGAAUGCCUUCAAUUGGUAAAGAAUCCACCUUCAAUUGUUGUUCUCAGCUCAGAAUCAGAUAGAUCUCCUAAUUUCGCUCCCACAAAAGUAUCUAACCACUUGGAAAACUAGGGCUUUAAAACAGAACUUUUGGGCUUUUAACGCCGAGGCCGCGGCGCGGCAACGGGCUGGCGCGGCGCGCCCCUCAAACAGAAGUAUUUUCGCGGCGCGCCUAGGAACUCGCGCGGCGCGCCCUUUGUACUUUCCAUCUUUUUCUUCAGCCUUUGAGACUUCCAGCUUUCUUUCCUCCUCAUGUUCUUCUUAAGUUCUUAUUCAGCUCAAAACCUGCAACAAUAACACCCACAAGUGAUUCGAUUUGCUUUACGCACGAACUAAACUUAUUCAGUUCAAUUCUUAAUAAAAACCUAUGGAUUCAUCACAAGUUGCAUCAGUUUAGAGAAGAAAUCACUUAUAUUAACACAUGAAUUUACCAUUAAUUUACUCCUAACAAACUCUCCCCAACUUAGAGUUUUGUUUGUCCCUAAACAAAAUUACUUACCUCCAGCAAAGUUUACCGACAAUCAAACAACAAGUUUUUCAAAAAGUUUUUCUCAAGUGGUUCAAUCCAUUAACCAAGUCAAAUACUCCUCUUCUACCUGCAAACUCAGAACAUCCACAUGAAACAAACGUUGAAAGCAAAUUACCUCCAGAAGUUCAAAACACUACACAAUUGUAAUUGAAUCAGCACUAAUCACUCUCAUCAAAAAGUAUGAUGAAUAAAAGAGGGGUUAAACACUCCUCCAAACAAUUAAAUCAACAAAGAUCCAUAUCAUACGUUCACCAAAUUGCUAGCAUCAAGUACUGUGGAAUCUGAGAAUCAGAAGGUCUUUCUAGGGUUGUAAUGCGGUUUAGAUUCAAAGAAAAGAAGAUGAUCAAGGGUUGUUCCUAAUAUAGGGAAGCAUCCAAUUCAUAACUUAUUUCUUUUUCUCUAAAACUCUAAUUCCUUUACCUGUCCAUCUUUUUUCAUUCAUUCGUAGCUUGAUUCUUCUUUUUCACUUUUUUUUUUUCAACAAUCUUUAUAUUCAAACGUUGUUACUUCUCUUUUUUUUUUCAAGCUACGACUUCUUAUAUCUUCCACCGAUUACCAUAAGUACUUACUCUUCUUUUAAAUGUGACUCUCCCCAACUUGGAGAUCAACCUGUAUUCAGAUUAUAUGAAUGCUCCCCUACUUUCUAACAAGGUCAAAGAGAAAACACAUCACCAAAUUUUAUGGUUGAUGAUCCAGAACAAAACUUUUCAUUGAGAUCAAAACUCACCAGGUAUUUUCCUUGGUGCAUAUUAUGAUUCUUAUCUUGACCUCAGGCUCAAAGAAUGGUUAGCAAAAGAUCACACUCUCACAGAAGAAAUUAAGUUGCGUUAGAAUAGGCUAAAAGAACUCUCAGAUUCAAAUAAGUGCCUAAAUCACUUUCACAGAUUUCCACAAACGCUGCAACAACCGGUUUAGCAUGAUACAAACAAGUCAAGACAAUUGAUGGUCUCCUGCAUAUAGUAAACAAUGGAAGGCUUUCCUCACAAUGGUUAAGGCUAAACCAAUUCAAUACAAUAGUGUACCAUAAAAAACUUCUGACAGUAUUUACUAACACCUUAAGUUUCAUUGCACACAUUAAGAGUUUGAGUUCAAAAAUUCAUACCUGCUUUGUUACUUAUUGAAAAAGAGAGUGAAACUCAAAAAUUUUGAACAUUCACUUACUACCACUUUCAUACAUGUUGCUUCAUUGUUGAUGCUUUGCUUGAGAUUCCCGCUUUGUUAUGGGACUACUUACUCUAACUGGGAGUACAUAACAGACAUAAAAACAUAAGAUUGAACAUAAAAAAAUGCAAAGAGUAAAUCCACCCCCAAACUUAAACUAAACAUUGACCUCAAUGUUUCGUAACAAGCCCGAGAGGGUUAACUCACAGAGGGUAUUACAAUAUUACUUGCCUCUUCCUAGCUUUCACCAGAAAGGUUCCCUUAUUAUUUCCUGGAAUAACAAUAGACAAAAAUAAAACAUUAGAAGUGUGGGUUACCUCCCACAAAGUGCUUCGUUUAACGUCGCAUGGCUCGACGGUCCAUUACCCCUUGUUUUAUGGAGGGUAUUUCCUUUUCCAACACUUGCUACUUUGUACUUCCAUACCCACAAACUCAUGAAGAUAAAAAGCAUGGAUAGCUUUUCUCUUCACUUUAUCUUCCCCAUUCUGAUCACUCUCCUUAGCCCUCUUAGGACUUUUGACAUCAUCAUAAUUUGGUUUCAUUGGAGAAGAUAUGUUAGAGACUUUUUCUUGGAGGUUUUUGAGAUUUUUGUUUUCUUGUGCACCUUCCGGUAUACCAGUUGAAUUUUUCUCAUUUACCCCUGACCUGUGUUUCUUGACUCCCAGCAUCUUCAAGGUUACUUCUUCAUCAAAUGAUUUUAGCGUUAGCGUCCCCUUUUCAAUGUCAAGAUUACAGCGUCCUGUCGACAAAAAGGGUCUCCCAAGAAGGAUCGGAGUUUCUUCAUCUUCCGGAAUGUCCAUGAUGUGGAAGUCAACAGGGAAAACAAACUUAUCCACUUCUACUAGUACAUCUUCCGCUACUCCAUAAGAUUUCUUAAUAGUGUGAUCGGCGAACCGUAAUUGCGACUUACUUUCACUGAGCUUGUCUAAUUCAAGCCUUUUGAAAAUGGAUAACGGCAUUAAACUCACACUAGAACCAGAAUCGAGAAGUACCUUUUUAAAUGAUGUAUUCUUGAUAGUGCAUGGUAUCGCCACCGCCCCAGGGUCUUUUCUCUUAAUUGGGAUCUUUCUUGCUGCAGCGACUAUACUACACUUCUCGAUUGCAAUUUUUGGUUCUCCUUCUAGUGAUCUUUUUUUCGCCGACACCUCUUUCAUAAAUUUCUUAUACACAGGCACGUGCUCCAGUGCUUCAAAGAAAGGUAGAUUCACUUCUAACUUUUUGAACAAGGCCGUAAACUUUCGAAAGUCUUUCUCUUUUGAAUCCUUCUUUGUCACUCGCAAAGAGGGAGGUGGUUUAAUCACCUGUUCAACAGCUUUCUUAUUUUUUUCUUCAACUGGUUUCAUUGGUGGUAUAACAACUUCUGGCUCUUUUGGGUUCUCUCUUAUUUCCAGAUCUACCUCCAUCACCAUAGGGUCACCUAUUUCCUCUUUCUCUUUUUCCGAUUCUAAACCCUUUUGACUCCUUGUUGUAACAGCAUUAAUUUUCUCUUGUCCUUGCGGGCUUUUCACAGUAGAGUUUUGACAGGCUCCUUGUGCCUGUAGAGUGAGCUGAUGUGUUAUUUGACCCACUUGAGUCUGCAGAUUUUUAAUUGCAGCUUCCUGGUUCUUCUGAUUUAUCACUGAUGUUUGAAUGAACUGAUUCACGGUCUCCUCCAACUUGGAUUGUCCUCCUUGCUGUUGUUGCGGUGGUUGAGUGUAUGGUUGGAAGGCUUGUUGUUGAUACCCUUGAUUCGGUGGCCUUUGUUGGUACCCUUGAUUGUUAUAUCUUGGUGGAUAACCUUGUUGGUAUGACUGAUUCUGAUAUUGAUUCUGCCUUUGUCCUUGGUUAUUAUUCAUGUAAUUCACUUCUUCUUCUUGCACUGGUGGACAGAAUCCUGUUUGAUGAUCUCCCUUGCACAAUUCGCACCUAGCAACUUGAUAUGAAUUAGAUACCCCGUUCAGCUCCUUGAUUUGUUGUGGUAGUUUAGACAUUUGUUGUGUCAAAAGUUCCACUUGUGAAGUUAGCAAUUUGUUCUGAGCAAGUAGAGCAUCACUAUUGUUCAACUCUAACAUUCCGGGUUUCUUAUCUCUUACCGUUCGAUCAUGAUUGCCUUGACGAUCAUUUAGAGCCAUUCGCUCUAUUAUCUGAGUAGCUUCUUCAGGUGUUUUGGACAUGAGAGAACCACCAGCUGUGGCGUCCAAAAGUGUCUUGUUUGUAGCUGUGAGACCGUUACGGAACAUAUGGAUUUGGUCAACGUCUGAAAAACCGUGUCCUUUGCACUUUCUCAACAUAGCUUUAUACCUUUCCCAUGCUUCAUUCAAAGAUUCAUUACUACCUUGAGAAAAUACUGCUAUUGCUGUUUUUGCUUCGAAGAAUCGGUUUUGAGAGUAAAACCUUUCCAGAAAUUUUUCUUCCAAUGUGUUCCAAUUUGUCAUCACUACCUCGGGUUGAUCCAGAUACCAAUCCUUUGCCUUAGAUAGCAAAGAGUGUGGGAACAACCUCUUAAAUAAUGCUUCCUCAUCAGCUUGAGCAACACCCGUAGUACCCGCUAACUCAUAGAAUCGAGUAAGAUGCGUGUACGGGUCUUCAUGGUCCAAUCCGGCGAAAGGACUUGCACAAAUCAAUUGUAUGAUACCGGUCUUCAGUUCUGUCGGUCGCCCGUUGGCGGCAGUUCUCGCGAACUGAGGAUUGAGUCUUGGACUAUUAGCACAUGGACCAUUAGCUGCCAUGUUGCCAACAGUAGGUUGUAUAAUAACUUCCGGUUCUUCCUCCGUGAAUAGUUCGUGAAAGAAGAAUCCUUCUUGCGACUCGUCAAUGGUUUCAAGUUGUUGUGACGAUGUCGCGGUUGCGUUGUCUCUUGCUUUUGCUAUGUUCGCUCUUUUUCGUGCUUUGCUAUUUAACCUCCUAGCGGUCCUUUCGAUCUCGGGAUCAAAAAGAAGUUGAUCGCUAGAAACUUUGCUGCGCAUACACAAUCUUCUGCAAAACUAGCAAACACGUGAAACAACCAAAAAGAGAAAAUAAAAAUUAAAAACUUCCCCGGCAACGGCGCCAAUUUGUUGAAAGUAUUUGUGGGUAAAUAUUUUCUGUAAUAUAUCGUAUCCACAGGGAUUGGUUAAUAUCACUGCCGUUCUAUAGUUGUUUAUUUUGAGUUAAGAAAUUUGGUUUGGUUUGUUUUAUACUAAUAAUAAUAUCAAAAACAAAUAAUAAAAUAAAAGCAAGUAAAGGACUUUGUGUUAACAAAUAAAGAAAGAUGUUGAGUCUUUAGGGUUCAUCAACCUAAUCCUAUACAAUUAUCAAUUAAUUCACAAUAGAACAAUCCUUUGAAUCAUUAUCUUCACUUAUCCUCAAAUAAGAUUCCAUGUCUGCAAAUCAAAUUAGAUAACUUUUACCGGUAUGAGAUUCGAUCUCUCCAAACCACAAUAACGAUAAUAGUAAUUAAGAACGAUAAUUAUGAAAACCCAAUUACAAUUCCAUCUCUGCAAAUUGCAAUUGAAUCAAUAUAGUAACCUAGGGCAAAAGUUAAAUCCUUUCUUUCGAUCAAAGAUUCAACGAUAAUUUAAGACUAAAAAACAAGGUUUCUUAUUGAUAAUGAAUUCAAAUAAUUGUUCACAGGAAUUAAUCAAUGGUAAUGUAUAAUCAUAGGUUAACUACUACCUUAGACUCAACAAGAGGGAUUUAGCUCUCCAUAGAUAUGAAGAACAUACAAGAAUCAAUGGAGGAAUUCAUCUUCAUCAAUAGAAUGCCUUCAAUUGGUAAAGAAUCCACCUUCAAUUGUUGUUCUCAGCUCAGAAUCAGAUAGAUCUCCUAAUUUCGCUCCCACAAAAGUAUCUAACCACUUGGAAAACUAGGGCUUUAAAACAGAACUUUUGGGCUUUUAACGCCGAGGCCGCGGCGCGGCAACGGGCUGGCGCGGCGCGCCCCUCAAACAGAAGUAUUUUCACGGCGCGCCUAGGAACUCGCGCGGCGCGCCCUUUGUACUUUCCAUCUUUUUCUUCAGCCUUUGAGACUUCCAGCUUUCUUUCCUCCUCAUGUUCUUCUUAAGUUCUUAUUCAGCUCAAAACCUGCAACAAUAACACCCACAAGUGAUUCGAUUUGCUUUACGCACGAACUAAACUUAUUCAGUUCAAUUCUUAAUAAAAACCUAUGGAUUCAUCACAAGUUGCAUCAGUUUAGAGAAAAAAUCACUUAUAUUAACACAUGAAUUUACCAUUAAUUUACUCCUAACACUUUACUGAUAUCUCAUUGAGUCGUUGAACUUGAUCAACUCAUCGACUGAGUGCGUGACAGUGGAAUUACGGCAGAGCCGCCACGAGGACUCGUAAAACCUGCAAGGUUGUGAACCUAAGUUGUUGGAGUGGGAUGAGUAAUGAAUUGUUGGACGUUUUAAGUGGAUGAUAUUGGAAUCGUCAAGCUUCAGAAGAGCAGUUGACGCAAUGUAGUGAUACCCGAACUGUCAAGGUGUGGAUCGAGACAACUAGAACCCCCAGGAUUUGGAUGGGACAGAGUGAAACCUUCUCUAAGUCUUGGUAAUAGCAAGGGAAAAUCCGGACAGGAUUGAGAAAGGGCCUUGUAAGUGAGAUUCUCCGAAGGUGUUGAGCUGGGAUUUAGUAGGAUUCAGUACUGAUGAUGCUGCUGGUGUUAAGUGCGACUGAUGAGCUGAUAGGACAGAAUAACCUUUGGAAGUGCGGACACAGAAGUCAGACCUUUCUGAUUGCGCUGGUACGGACAGUAAUUGGAUGGGUGAAGUAUUAGAUCCUGAUUUAACUUGAAGUAACCUAAGCGAGAGUAGUUGCCUAGUGAAGGUUCGUGGAAUAUACGAACGUGGUAACUUACGAUUGGGCGAGGCUUGAAUACUCGGUCGAUGGAAGAGGAUGUGUAUUUCUAUUCUUAUCAUUUUAUAUUUAAGUUCUAGAACUACGCUAGAUGGAAUAUGAAAUGAUGUAGAAGCGUGAAAUGCAGUAGCCUAAGUUCUUGUUAGUUGUUGUUCGUCAGACCCCGAGUGAAGCCAUAGAAUUACGCUUGGCAUUGGGCGUUCAGGCGAGUAAGAACUAAGAUCUAUCUGGAACGUCAAUAGGAUGAUCGCAGUUGCGUUGGUUAUUAGGAACCAUAGUAUUCCUAUCUGGACUGAAUUAUCCUUGGAAUCUCAUGCAUGCGUGGGACGAGUGGGUACGCGCACGACAUGGUAAUUCGAUUUUGAACUUCAAGUCUUCAUGCUUGGCGUUUUGGCCUUCCGAGUAAGUAAACCUUGAUGUGUAGCACCCUCAAGUUUUAGCAUCCUGAGGAGUGUGAUUCGAAGGACUUGAGGAACGAUGAACCUAUUGGAGGCCUGUUCAGACACUUGUCGGUUGCAACUAUAGGAUACGCGUGGGGAUCAUUAUACGCCUGAGGUAGGUUACCGGGAUACAUGGCCUCGGAUUUGGUCCACCAUGUUGGUACUACCAGACGGGUAUGAUGCCACAGUAUCGCUAUCAUGCACAAGAUGCGUGAGUCAUCCUUUUCCGACAUGUGUGGGACAAAGGUGAUCUGAAGCUCAAGGUAGAAUUCUGAUUUGGCACUCGUGAGACACAGAUCCAGACUCUCAUAAGGUAUGUAGGAUAAGGAUUCAUACGUCACACUCGAUAGUAGAGGAAUAACUAGACAGGAGAUGGUGAGAUGGAUCAAGAUCCGAUACUAUGCUUAUAGAGACUCUGAAUGAUCAUGCUCACGCAAGUUAGAGACAGAUUAUACCUUGCAAAUGUUCUCGUUUCAUGAAGUGUUAAGUUGGCAAUUUUGCAAGAGUGUCUAGAGUGCGACUCAUGUGCGGUCAUGAUACCCUGGUCAGCAUAGUGAGUGGCUAUCAUGUAUCAUUGGCAACCAGUGAUGGAAUAUGCAAAUUGUAUCUUGGAAUAAUUUGAUGUGUGACGUAUCUGGUAGAGUGUCUGUAGAUACUCUGAGUGAAGAAAUGUCAAUCUUGGUAAAGCAUAGACAUUUUUGGUUUGAGAACUUGUGAGGAGUUUAUAAGAGAGAUGUUCGAAAUUCAAAGUACAAUUUCUCGCAUUGUGGCUGCACUCCGACCGUUGGAAGCACUGCAAUGAAGGAUGCAGCCGCCGGGGAAGUCAGUUUAAUGCCAGAUUCAGAGGUAGAUCAGACAUUAGAUGAAUGUGUGGAUGGAGUGUGGCUAUGAGGGGAUUGUUAUAUCAGUAAGUCGCACGAGUUAUCAGAGGUGACUUUGUGCUAAGAGAAUGAAGCCAUUUGGUUGGGAAGAAGCGAUGAUAAACCGACGGAGUUAUCGUAAGCUGCGAAGCGUUGGUGAAAGAAUCAUUAUAACGGUUGAGUAACAAGACUUGUUGUAAGGAAAAAAAAAACGUAUCAGUUGUACGCUGUGGAAAUCAGUGACAAGGACGAACCCCUAAGUCAGUGGGUAUUUGGGUUUCAAUGUCCUAAGAUCGAAACGUGUGCCUAAGUUAUGGUAGAUGAACUAAUAUGGAAUUGCAGAGUAAGUAGAAACUUGAUUCUGGAGAGUACGCAACUUCGAGGAGUAGUAGUCGACAAUGGAUGUAUAUGGAGUUCUGGAACGUGUUGUAAUUGGACAACUAUGGAUAAGGAAUUAUUGUGUAUUAAAGGAAGCCAAGUGAAUAAUGGAUAUAACGUGACUCAGAGGAUUUCAAGGUGUGUGAAUUGUUGGAAUCAGAGUAGCGCAACGGAUCAAGAAAGAAUCAGAUAAGUCUGAGGUAGGAACGAACGGACUAUUUGUAGGAUUUUAUGUUGGAAUGAAGGUAUCUUCCUAAGGGAAAUUGUCGAAGCGGCGUUUCGUUCAUUCCAGUCUCUCAAGGAUCACCAUAACUCGAGAGGUGUUGUCAAUGGGCCAGCUUGGGAAUACAUUUGGUGGAUGGCAUGCGGUCCGAAGUUCGUAGGUCAUCCGUUUAGCUUGUAUGUCACAAGGGUUGGACUGAGUAUUGUGACCGCUGAAAUGCUGAAGACCAGUGAGGAUUCUCAAUUGGCGCAAGUUCUUCGUGGUUAUGUCUUGUGCACUGUGAGCGUGCGUGAAGAGUUGGACAAUGGUCGUCGGGUAGCGUUUGGAAUUCACCGUUCAUCGGUGGAACCUUGGGUGAAGUUGUGGAAUGCUACAACAUCGUGGAUUGAGGUAAUGAUUGAUACAUCUAGGAUUGAGGUGAGAAUCGAGUAAGGAGGAUCAGUUGUAUAAGCAUAGGUAAACUUGGGACAACCGUCCUAAGACUUUGGGAACCGGAAGUUGAGACCAAGACAUUUGGCUAACGCCUAAUGACAUUGUAUGGACUCGAGUGGAGAAUAAUUUGAAGUGUUAUUGCAGAAGUGACGUUGUGGUAGUAAUUCUCAAACGGGAAGUAAUUCAAGGAGCUGAGUGGAUUAGUAAUGUUUGUCGAAUGAGGGUGAGCAUAUUAGAGAAUGAAAUGAAGGAUAUCCAACAUGAGUGGAUUAUUAGAGUUUCUGAAGUUCUGGGGAUUCAGUGCAGAGCAGUGAAGGUCAAGGACCCUGGAAGGAUUUUUCCCCAUAUAUGUCAAGACGAAGUAUCUUGAUAGACGUGUUACUUGAGAGUCAAAGUUCUAACCAUGCAUAGUGGGACGCAGGUGUUUUGGCAGAUUAUGCUUCUUCGUAUAGAAUGACCCUCAGACAGAGUAGUGAGAUUAUGUGAAGAGAAAUGUAAGGAACAUUUCAUCCCCUGGUUGGUAUAGAUUUGGACACGUUGUUUCCGUGGUGACCGGAAAGAAUUCGAGGACGAAUUCAAUUUAAGGGGGGGAGAAUGUAAUACCCCGAUUCUCCGACACAAGUUAAUUAUCAUUUAAUUGGUUAAGUGAUGAUUAUAAGGCAUAUUGAUAUUGGAUUAUAUUAGUCUAAGAAGAAUUAUUAGUAAGAGUUAGUGGAGUGGUUAGAAUAAGAUAGAUUAUUGGAAUUUAACCAAGUGGCAAGGUGGUAAUUUUCACUCAAUUGGAGGGCUUAAUGGACUUAUGUAUUGCUUGCAUGUGGACAUAAUGGACAUUGGACUUUAAGUGCAUGAGCUUAAGUGUUGUUUGGCUUACACAUCAGAUUUUUAUGGUUGAAGUGGAGCAAGAGAAGCUUAUGUUCUUCCUCAUCACCUUCAUUUUCGCAACAUUUUGACAGCCCUCACUAAACUGAUCAUAACUCUCUGCUCACAGCUCCGAUUGAGCUUGUUUAUUGAUGGAGAUAAGCGCAUUUGAAGUUGAUCAAUGGAUGCUGAAAAUAGGUGUAAAGUGGAAUACGGGUUUGAUGAAUUUGGAGUUGAAGUUUUGGUCAAGUUAGGAGCUCAAUUGCAGCAUGUUCAUCAUCCAAAGCUCCAUUGAUGCAAGGUGAGUCUCUAGUUAGAGACUUGGGGUUUUGUGGGGAAAUUAGAAUUUGGGGAAAAUUGGGGAUUUGUGUGAUAAAAAUCAUUGCAUGUUUGUUUAAUGGAUAAAGUAUGUGUUCUUUGAUGUGAUUAUAUGUUGUAGAAUGAUGAUACAUGAUGGAGUUCGAAUUUGGAUCAUUAGGGAACCUUAGGAAUGUUUUAGGAUGUUUUGGAACUGGUUUUAUGCAGGAAAAUACGUUUUUUUGACUCUGCUUCAGUAGCAAAUCGAUUUGCAUGGGUUGUAAAUCGAUUUUCAUUCCUGAAAAUGUCAUUUUUGGGCUCUGCUACAGGUGUAAAUCGAUUGCAGUAAGAUGCAAAUCGAUUGCUUACUGACAGGAAAAUAGCUUUUAUUGUUUUGAUCAUAACUUGAGUUUUGUAACUCGAAAUGAAGCCCGGUCGGAAGCAUUGGAAAGGUCUUUUAAUGAUCUUUAUGAAUAUGCUUAGAUAUAAAGCUUUUAAUUGAUUUAAAAUUUAUGGCAAAUGGAUGUUUAGUUACAUGAUGUCGGAUUAACAUUUAUAGAAUCAAGAAUGGUAUGUUUAAUUCCCCAGAGUGCAGUUCCGUUCCAUGUCGGGAACCGGAAGCCUCCUUGUUAUGAGACUAAUGUGUGUCCAUGUACGUUCUAAAUAAUUAUAUGGUUUGAUUUGUUAGACGCUGGCCUAUAGAUCUAGAGGGGGGGGGGUGAAUAGAUCUCACUAAGUUUUUACAGAUUUUUCUACAGACUCGAGCGAAAGCGGUUCUGAAUCGACUUGCGUCUAUUCUGGACCGCUAUUGCAAAGGUCGUAUGUGUUUCAAAACCAAAGAGUAAGUGGAAAUGAUGGUGAAGUAAUAUGAUAGCUAACCAAUACGUUUAACAACUGAAAUCCAAUUAACUUCUAGAUUGACGACUUUGAUUUGCAAUGCAGUAAGAUUGGAUUAAGCAAAAACACAAACACUUGGUGAUACGUUCAAAUUGAUAGUGAUUCAAGUUGUGGUGAAUUGUGAUGUUUGUGCAGAACUUUAAUUCACAAUUUUAACACUCGAAUCGUUGAUCAAUUUUGCACUUAUAACCAAUUAUGAACAGAAAGUAAAAGAGAAAGUAAAAGCGACAAG
This is a long non-coding RNA of Vicia villosa (hairy vetch), 16850 nucleotides long. RefSeq lists it as uncharacterized. The transcript is spliced from 5 exons. Lineage: Eukaryota; Viridiplantae; Streptophyta; Magnoliopsida; Fabales; Fabaceae. The record is from RefSeq and is a predicted model, not a curated record.